AAUGAACGCUGGCGGCAGGCCUAACACAUGCAAGUCGAGCGGAGCGGCGGACGGGUGAGGAAUGCCUAGGAAUCUGCCUGGUAGUGGGGGAUAACGACCGGAAACGGGCGCUAAUACCGCAUACUAUCAGAUGAGCCUAGGUCGGAUUAGCUAGGUGGUGGGGUAAAGGCAUACCAAGGCGACGAUCCGUAACUUGUCUGAGAGGAUGCUCAUUCACACUGUAACUUAAACCCGGUCCAGACUCCUAAGUGAGGCAUCAUUGGGGAAUAUUGGACAAUGGGCGAACUCCUGAUCCAGCCAUGCCGCGUGUGUGAAGAAGGUCUUCGGAUUGUAAAGCACUUUAAUUUGGGAGGCGUUACCAACAGAAUAAGCACCGGCUAACUUCGUGCCAGCAGCCGCGGUAAUAC
This 407-nucleotide ribosomal RNA is filed under the name uncultured bacterium. Its description in RNAcentral is "partial 16S ribosomal RNA". It matches the Rfam family "Bacterial small subunit ribosomal RNA", at positions 29 to 526 of the family's 1533-position model. The record is from RNAcentral.